RNAcentral lists this long non-coding RNA (1001 nucleotides) under Apteryx haastii (Great spotted kiwi). RNAcentral's name for it is "lncRNA (ENSAHAG00000009520.1)". Lineage: Eukaryota; Metazoa; Chordata; Aves; Apterygiformes; Apterygidae. The record is from RNAcentral.
CGCACAGGGUUAAACCCGGCCGAGCGCUGCGGCCCGAGGCGUUCCGGGAGCUGUAGUCUUCCGGCACCGGGCUUCCGGGCGGCCAUUUUAGUCUCCAGAGCAUGCCGGGAGUUGUAGUCUUUCGCCACUGGGCUUCCGGGAGGCCAUUUCGGCCCGCGGGGCGUGCCGGGAGGGGUAGUCUUCCGGCACAGGGCUUCCGGACGGCCAUUUUGAUUCGCGGGGCUUGCCGGGAGGGGUAGUCUUCCGUCACCGGACUUCCUGGAGGCCAUUUUAGUCCGCGGGUUGCCGGGACGGGUAGUCUUCCGGCACCGGGCUUCUGGGCGGCCAUUUUAGUCCGCGGGGUGCCGGGACGGGUAGUCUUCCCGCACCGGGCUCCUGGGAGUGCGUGCGGUGUCUCUCGAGGCGGCGGCGGGUGCCGCCCUUCGCCAGCGGGGCCCCCCGCCGGGUGCCGCCCCGUGCUCCGCGGGCCCAGGUGCCCUCUGAGCCCUGCGGCACGCUGCCCCUGGUUUGCCCCUCGCCUCUCAAGCAAUUGUGGGCAGGGCAGCGGCUGGCGCCGAGGUCUCACCCCUGUGAGUUCCUGCUGCCUUUGAUCUACAGGAGUAGAGCUCUGGAAUCACCUUGGUAGGCAGCAGCAUUUGAGCAAGCAAAGCCACCCGGGACCAUCCGUUCCUACGUUUGCAGAAGCACAAGCUCUUUGUGAGUGUAAGAGCACUGGGGCGGUUCAAGCUAGAGUUGUGACCGUGAUGGAAAGCUGUUUAUAGCAGGCAUUUUUUUCAUGGGUCGCUGUCUUGGCAUGGGGUGUUCAGGGGUAGAAGACAGAUGCUGAGUCUCCAGUUGUAUCUUUUCUUAACUGUCAAUUUUGUUUUGUGGUGUUUCUUUGUCUACUGUGGAAGGGACCCAACUUCAUCACUGGGCCCCUCUGAGAUAAAGACAUUUGGGGAAUUACUUGUUCUUCUCUGGGACUGAAUAAAAUAAGAGGCAGCGGGGGUUUGGAGAAAACA